CCUACGGGUGGCAGCAGUGGGGAAUAUUGGGCAAUGGAGGCAACUCUGACCCAGCAACGCCGCGUGAAUGAUGAAGGUCUUCGGAUUGUAAAGUUCUGUGAUUGGGGAUGCACACUAUGACGGUACCCCAAUAGCAAGCCACGGCUAACUACGUGCCAGCAGCCGCGGUAAUACGUAGGUGGCAAGCGUUAUCCGGAAUGACUGGGGGUAAAGGGUGCGUAGGUGGUUUGGUAAGGUGGCGGUGUAAUGCCGGGGCGCAACCCCGGCGCUACCGCCAAAACUAUUAGACUAGAGUGCAGGAGGGGUAAGUGGAAUUCCUAGUGUAGCGGUGGAAUGCGUAGAUAUUAGGCGGAACAUCAGGUGCGAAGGCGACAUACUGGACUGUAACUGACACUGAGGCACGAAAGCGUGGGGAGCAAACAGGAUUAGAUACCCCUGUAGUC
Molecule: ribosomal RNA, 443 nt
Filed under: uncultured bacterium
Lineage: Bacteria
Description: partial 16S ribosomal RNA
Rfam family: Bacterial small subunit ribosomal RNA
Source: RNAcentral